This 440-nucleotide ribosomal RNA is filed under the name uncultured bacterium. RNAcentral's name for it is "partial 16S ribosomal RNA". It matches the Rfam family "Bacterial small subunit ribosomal RNA", at positions 338 to 795 of the family's 1533-position model. The record is from RNAcentral.
CCUACGGGUGGCAGCAGUGGGGAAUAUUGCACAAUGGGGGAAACCCUGAUGCAGCGACGCCGCGUGAGUGAAGAAGUAAUUCGUUAUGUAAAGCUCUAUCAGCAGGGAAGAAAAUGACGGUACCUGAGUAAUAAGCCACGGCUAACUACGUGCCAGCAGCCGCGGUAAUACGUAGGGGGCAAGCGUUAGCCGGAUUUACUGGGUGGAAAGGGAGCGUAGACGGUAGUGCAAGUCUGGAGUGAAAGGCGGGGGCUCAACCCCCGGACUGCUCUGGAAACUGUACGGCGGGAGUGCAGGAGAGGUAAGUGGAAUUCCUAGUGUAGCGGUGAAAUGCGUAGAUAUUAGGAGGAACACCAGUGGCGAAGGCGGCUUACUGGACUGUAACUGACGUUGAGGCUCGAAAGCGUGGGGAGCAAACAGGAUUAGAUACCCUGGUAGUC